Molecule: long non-coding RNA, 500 nt
Filed under: Phoenix dactylifera (date palm)
Lineage: Eukaryota; Viridiplantae; Streptophyta; Magnoliopsida; Arecales; Arecaceae
Description: long non-coding RNA (PDAC_LNC017684)
Source: RNAcentral
GAGACGUCUCCACGACUAGCGCGAGACGUCUCGCCGGGGGGACGUCUCUGUGAUUUGCCAGAGACGUCUCCGGCACUGAAAAUUUUCUGAAUGAUUUCUAUCUUUUCUCAAUUUAUUUUAUUUAACCACACUGAUUUCUUUUGGUGAAUAUAGAGUGAGUUUGUUUGUGAUCCUCCCCUUUAAUAAUACACCCUAUAAAAGUCUGAUAAUGAUUUUUGAAUUAUUAAUAUUGAAAUGAGGAAUGUUUGACCAAAUUUCGAAUACCUAUGAAAUAGGCUCUGAAAAUAUCUCCAUGAAGAGUCCAAGGGAGGGUAACCAUCCUCCGAAAAGUCAAACAAUUCGUCAUUUAACUUAGAUAGAUUUAUGCUUUCACUUAAUAGAUGCUAGGUUUGCUAUUUCUGACCUUGUGGUGAAUUACCAGCUUGAGUAGCAAAGCAUUGCAUUACAAGUUCAAUUUAUUUGCUAGGAUCAAAUAAGCACAAAGCAUUCCUUAAGAAGUU